Molecule: ribosomal RNA, 468 nt
Filed under: Haemophilus sp. oral taxon 035
Lineage: Bacteria; Pseudomonadati; Pseudomonadota; Gammaproteobacteria; Pasteurellales; Pasteurellaceae
Description: bacterial SSU rRNA
Rfam family: Bacterial small subunit ribosomal RNA
Source: RNAcentral
AUUGAACGCUGGCGGCAGGCUUAACACAUGCAAGUCGAACGGUAACAGGGAUUAGCUUGCUAAUUUGCUGACGAGUGGCGGACGGGUGAGUAAUGCUUGGGAAUCUGGCUUAUGGAGGGGGAUAACUACGGGAAACUGUAGCUAAUACCGCGUAAAAUCUUCGGAUUAAAGGGUGGGACUUUCGAGCCACCUGCCAUAAGAUGAGCCCAAGUGGGAUUAGGUAGUUGGUUAGGUAAAGGCUGACCAAGCCGACGAUCUCUAGCUGGUCUGAGAGGAUGACCAGCCACACUGGAACUGAGACACGGUCCAGACUCCUACGGGAGGCAGCAGUGGGGAAUAUUGCACAAUGGGGGGGACCCUGAUGCAGCCAUGCCGCGUGAAUGAAGAAGGCCUUCGGGUUGUAAAGUUCUUUCGGUGACGAGGAAGGUUGAUAGGUUAAUAGCCUAUCAAAUUGACGUAAUCACAGAA